GCGCGGGCGGGGCCGCGGGGGCGCUGAGACGCUGCGAGGCACGUGGGGUCGACGUCUCAACCUUCUGCAGGUCUGUCGGCAUCGAACGGCGGUAGUCCUACCUACGACAACACGACGGACGAGGGCAAUCGGAGCGAGUGUGCGGCAAGCAGGAAAGAUCGCAGCAUCUGGUGGGUGAAAUAGUACACAGUAAGUAUGCAGACUUGCUUAGGUACUUGCAACCAUGUAGCUUCUCAGCCUUCACUAGAAAAAACACACGGCAACAGCCACAAUGGUAGAUUUCUGUUGACCUGAUACAAUCGCUGGAGUUUCGCAUUUUAUUUGACGAGCUGCUUAUCAAAACGGAAUUAUUCGAAUAUUUUUUAUUGUGUGAUCGUGAUUUUUUCUGUCACGUACAAAAUGUUACCAUCUUAUUGAUUUCUACUUUGAGUUUUGUUUUGAGUUUGGAAGAGUGGAAAACUAUUCGAUUUGGUGCUGCUCUCUUGUUUGUCUGUCUGCACAUGUUUAUGCACAUCUGUCUUCAAGCCGCUUCCCUAGGCGUCUCCUACGGUGAUUUUUUCUUGAAGUGAUGUAGCAUUGCAUGCAACAUGGAAUGUUGAAAUGUGUUUUAAAUAGUGGGGGUCAGGACUUUUGAAUUGUACUUCUUUUAAUUUUGUUUUUUUCAUGCUACGGUUGCAUUUUGCCAAUAGUACAUGUGCUUUACACUGAUACAAAUGUAGUACCUGUCUGUAGAAUUGACUAAAAAUAUAGACGUUGGGCAAAAUCAAAUGUGAAACCAUUCAUCUCUUAAGUAGGAAGCAGGAAUUCCUCGGCGAAAUGCAAGGUGGCCGUGAUGAAAAUUGUGGGAGGGGCCUAACUCCCGUGGGAUUUGCCCACUACCCUUUUUGUUCACGAUGUCGCUUACAUGUCGUUGGCUGUCCGUGCGUCGCCGUCACGUUUUCUUGGCAUGCUACUGUGAAUUACAUUCGUCGCGAGUCUGCGUGUGAGAGUGUUUGCGCGUGGCGACCAGGCAGGCUGCACUGGCGUAGGUGCAGUUGUGUGGUCUCCCUCUCGCUCCUGGAAGGUUGUGGUGUGUUCACGUGCGAGCGAAGUAGUGAUAGGAAGAUCACCCGAACGAAACGAACAACGUUGACGAAUAAACAAAAGAUCGACAAACGAACGUGCCGCGCACAGCGCACGUGCGCCUGCAAGAUGGCGUCACGCUAGAAGCUGUUACUCGCCUCAUCGAGACGGCGCUUCUGAAGACAAUAGAGCAUUCCGUGACUUGCCGAGUGGACCUCUGUGGCUCCGCCUGGUGGCGAACGCCGGGUGAUGUGAAUCGAAGAGUUGGACUCACCGAUCGUAUUGAGGAUUGUAAGUUAACGUAGGCUAAUCGAUCGAGUAUUCAAACCUCGUUUUUCGUUUCCGUCGUGCUUUGCGAUGUCGCCGUAUUGUGGACACCGGCCACCUCUGAUGAUCAUGCUCUAGUUUUACUUGUGUCUCCUGCUACGAUUGUAUGCUUUUCCACACCGAAGCCCCGUUUGCACGGUAAAAGGUUACCCCGGGUAAACACACGAGUGCACGUUUUUUUUACUAUGGUAGUGCAAUGGUGUGGGUUGAACGAUACUGGGGCACACACCCGGAUUAAAACCUGGGUAACAUUUGGAAGUGUAAACGCAAUUUCGUCCACGUGUAUGCCCGGAUAGAUAGAUACCUGGGUAACCUUUCCAUGCGUGAUCUGGGGCUUAAGAGUAUGCAGUUUGCAAUAUUUGAUGUCGGGUUAUUGGUUAUAUUUGGUCGCACAUAUCGCAAACACUCUGACGAGUGUGAAAUCAAAAUGCCUUUGAGACGACAAUUUUGUCGAAUUGCCAUUACCGUAGGUUUUAUAAUGUCAAAAUUAUAUAUAUAUAUAUAUGUAUAUGUAUAUCGCAGCUAUAAGAUAUCUAUACUUGCUCCAUGGGCAGCUGGUAUAGAUCGUGAUGGUGUGGAAGUGCGUGAUGUUUAUUAUGUACAUUGUCAAUAUCUUGUCUACGACUGUGCUUGUGUGGUAGCUGAUUCAUGGGUUGAUAACAUGAUGAUGUGUGGUGUGAGGGAGGGUAAUAAAUAAUACACACUGCUGGCUGGUCCAUCUGCUAAGGCUUCUACUUACUACUGCUCAGUACCGUGGUCAAAAUUUUCAGGUUUCCAAAAUCUUAUAUCAGUGUCGUGAUCUGAAUGAUAUAGAUCACAGGUCGCAGUCAUCAUGUGAAUAAUCCGCCAGCUAGUACGACGGCAGUGACGUGGUGAGUGGGGGUUGUAUUCGGACAGUGGUGGGAGUAGAAGCUACUUACUAUUAUCAUCGUGAACGUGUCUAUCUUCACACUGUAUAAAGAUAUGUUCACGAUGUUUACAAUUAGUAGUCAUCUUUUGCUUCCAACGUCCACAUGUGUGACUGAAGCGUAUCUCUGUGUAACAAGUCGGGAGUAAAUAAUAGAAAGGGCUAUAAUAACUUUAUGGUAAAUGUAAACAUUGGCGUGUAUUGGCAUGUCGUAAUCCGUUAUUAUUUACUCCUGGACGAGUGUUGUUGAUUACUGGUUAUUAAACUGCCAUUAAUCUCCUAUCAGUUUUACAGGGGGUUGUAAUUUCUACGCGUGUUUUUAUAUUACUUGUUUGUAAUUAUAUGAAAUUUUAUGUACAAUAUAUGAAUAUAGUAAUCGUAA
Molecule: long non-coding RNA, 2678 nt
Organism: Priapulus caudatus
Lineage: Eukaryota; Metazoa; Priapulida; Priapulimorpha; Priapulimorphida; Priapulidae
Exons: 2
Source: RefSeq, a predicted model, not a curated record